AUGUCCUGUUACGUUACGUCACGUCACGUCACGUCACGUCACGUCACGUCACGUCACGUCACGUCACGUCACGUCACGUCACGUCACGUCACGUCACGGUUUGAUUGCCUCAUGUUAAAGCACAGCAGAUGGACGUGCGCAACUAGAAAUCUGAUGAGCCUCGUACGACCCGGCAUCAUACGAUGCUCAACAGGAAUAAACUUAAGCAGUGCCAGUCCCGCAGAAAGAGGGACCAACGUUUUAGAAGAAACUCUUUCUAUGACACAUCAAAAUGGAGCCAAGAUGAUACGAGUCUUGAUGAGGAGAGAGACACCCAGGUUGCAUCAUCGUCUCAAAUCAGACAUAGGCUGCCCCAGGGCCUUUUCUCUCUCAAAGCGAUUCCCCAUAAAAUGAUUGCGAAUAAAGCAAGUAUGAGUGACAAAGGUUGUCACAUUACACCGGACAGAUUGACACAGCUCCCAGGCAUCUUCCGAAAUGUAAAGAAAUCAAAGAUCGUUUCCAGGAGUCCGCUGUCAUUGUUCAAGGAUUGGAAAGCAGGUACAGCAGGGAAAUCAAGUUGUGUGGCCAAGCAGAGCGCCAAUGAGACCAAGAAGGUGAUUGUGGAGCGAGUUGAUUCACCGAUGGAUUUUUCAAAUUUGUCUGGUAUGCAUCAUAGUCGACCCUUGGACGGUGAAAAUUACAGAUUUUUAAAUAUGUCUUCUGUGAAAGGUCAGAGUUCUUCCCAAAAUUCCACCUCCAGUUCAGAUCCUGCUCUCACCACUAAGGACGACCUCAAAGACUCAAAGCUAAUUCAAAGUAAAAAGCUAGAUAGGAGAGGAGUGACAAAGAAGGAAAACAAAUGCUUAAAGCAAGGAAAGUUGUGCAAAUACAAAUGCCAUGAAGUUGGAGUGAAUAGUCAUAAAAACAAGUGGAAAAGACUAUUUGAUAUUGGAAGUGAGGACACUGAGAAUGAGAUGCCUAAUUAUGAGAAGAGCAAGUUUUGGGGAGAUGAAGGACAGGGCUUUUCAGACUAUCAAGCUGAGGAAAGCAAGAAAAAGAUUUGCAGCAGUUCAACAGAUGAGUUGUUCUCCAUUGAUAAUGGCAGAGGUGGUGAGAGGAUGACUCUGAGGGCAACAGGCAAAUUUCCAGAUAUGACAAACGGAGCUUUACGCAAAGCUGUAUGCAAAGCUGUACGUACCGUGGAGAGCAUACUGGAGCAGCAGCCCAUUUUCCCUGAUUGCAACUUGGCUCGAGAAAUAUCCAACCAAUUGAUAAACACGAAUAAAGCACAGUGCCAGCCAACACAUGGCCUUUUGUCACACAAAAAAGGCUUCCCACAAUAUACUUCUUACAAUGAGAAUCAAAUGGAUAACCACAAUGGCACAGUGAGAGAAGAUCCACUUCAGGCUGACAAUUUUGAUCGAUAUGAAGGUUUUUCCUUCCUCAAGAAUCGAUCUUCACAGAAGGGUGGAGUGACCUCCACAUGCGUAAAACAACUCGUAAAUACAUUGAAAAGUCAAAAGUUAGGUGUGACUAAUGCUACCACCGAAGAAGCUUCCUGGCCUCUGCCUGUCAAUAUGUGUCAUGCAUUUGACAUGAAUACAAUGGCUCCGGAUUCAAUGGCGUAUGACCUUCCAUUACACACUGGUCUUGACCAAAAAACUACUUCAUCUCAUAUUAUGCACCCCAACAUACAGCCAACAAAAUGUCAGGAACUAUUUCCCUUAACCAGCACUUCACUGUUGACCUUGCACAAUGAGCCAUCAAACAUUAAUCUUUCUCAACACGAUGGUUUCAGGUGUACUAUAGAUGGGCAAAACGCAACAGAUUUAGGGACUAACUUAGUCUAUCCUUCUACCAGAGUUGAUCUGAAACACAGUCCAGUCAAUCCACUAUUGCUUUCCAAAAUUUUAGACUCCACGGCUAAUGCACCAUUCCCUGAUAACUGUUGUAUGCAUGAACAUCAUCAGCAGCUUGCACAAAUGACGAGCAUAGGUUUGAUGCAGAAUGAGGUGAUAAUGAACGACCCAGAUGUGUGUGUUAAUUUGCCAUAUUUGACAUCGGAUAGCAUUGCCUCGACAAUGGUGCCUACAUUUAACAGUUUUAUUCAAUCUUUCACAAGCCCAGAAUUCAUCUCGGCAGCAGAAAAAAAGCAGUGCCUUGUUCCAGAUGAACCUGAAGAAGUAAAGUGCUUUUCUCCAUAUGAUACCUCUAAUAUAUUGAGCAGUGAUUCGAGCUCAGAAGGAUGGGUCUUUUCACGCAUGAAGAUGUAUUAACAACAUUUGAAUAUGUGAUUAAUGAAUAAAUGUCCUAAAGUUGUUAUCAAUGAACAAUAAAAUGUAUAGUGAAGUCACAUGGCCUUAUUUGUGAUAACA
Molecule: long non-coding RNA, 2354 nt
Filed under: Eptatretus burgeri (inshore hagfish)
Lineage: Eukaryota; Metazoa; Chordata; Myxini; Myxiniformes; Myxinidae
Description: lncRNA (ENSEBUG00000017326.1)
Source: RNAcentral